GCUGCGUAUGGCUCGUUAUAACAGCUAUAAUUUACUUGAUCUUGACACAAUCCUACUUGGAUAACUGUGGUAAUUCUAGAGCUAAUACAUGCAUUAAAGCUCUGACCUCACGGGAAGAGUGCAUUUAUUAGAACAAAACCAAGCGGCCUCGGCUGUUUUCGGUUGACUCAUAGUAACUGAGCUGAUCGCAUGGUCUUGCACCGGCGACGUGUCUUUCAAGUAUCUGCCGUAUCAACUUUCGAUGGUAGUGUAUCUGACUACCAUGGUGAUCACGCGUAACGGAGAAUAAGGGUUCGGCUCCGGAGAGUUCGCCUGAGAAAUCGCGAACACAUCUAAGGAAGGCAGCAGGCGCGAAAAUUACCCACUCUCAGCACGAGGAGGUAGUGACGAAAAAUAACGAGACCGUUCUCUUAUGAGGCCGGUCAUCGGAAUGGGUACAAUUUAAACCCUUUAACGAGUAUCUAUGAGAGGGCAAGUCUGGUGCCAGCAGCCGCGGUAAUUCCAGCUCUCAAAGUGCAUAGAAUUAUUGCUGCGGUUAAAAAGCUCGUAGUUGGAUCUGUGCCUGUGGACGUGGUCCACCUUCGGGUGCGCACUACGCUCCUAGGCUUUUUGCUGGUUUUCCCGUCGUAGCCUUCGCCGGUUGCGGCGGGUGGCUGGCGAGUUUACUUUGAGAAAAUCAGAGUGCUCAAUACAGGCGUAUCGCUUGAAUGAUUGUGCAUGGAAUAAUAGAAAAGGAUUUCGGUCCUCUUUUAUUGGUUUUGUGGACUGAGAUAAUGGUUAACAGGGGACAAACGGGGGCAUUCGUAUUUCUGCGUGAGAGGUGAAAUUCUUGGACCGUAGAGAGACGCCCUACUGCGAAAGCAUUUGCCAAGAAUGUCUUCAUUAAUCAAGAACGAAAGUCAGAGGUUCGAAGGCGAUCAGAUACCGCCC
RNAcentral lists this ribosomal RNA (930 nucleotides) under Acrobeloides sp. RNAcentral describes it as "SSU rRNA". It matches the Rfam family "Eukaryotic small subunit ribosomal RNA", at positions 86 to 1020 of the family's 1831-position model. Lineage: Eukaryota; Metazoa; Nematoda; Chromadorea; Rhabditida; Cephalobidae. The record is from RNAcentral.